UUAAAGUUUCAUCAAACUUGAAGAUUAGAUCCUGUUGAAAAAUAAAAUAGGCUGUCCAAUGGACCAAAUACCGGUUGUAAAAACAAAACACAAAAAAUAAUGAUAUAAAAAAUUAACUUCGAUUGCAAUAUACAAAUAGUAAGAAACCUCAAACCUGAAAAGAUCAAAUAAUCAAAGGAAAGAAAUAACCAAGAAACCUGUAAAAUGGGAAAAAAUAAUAAAUUAAAGAAAAGAGUUAGAGUGAAACAACAUGAAAAAAAAACUAUUCAAACAAUAAACUAAAAAGAAACCUCAA
This 295-nucleotide long non-coding RNA is filed under the name Trifolium pratense (red clover). RNAcentral describes it as "long non-coding RNA (TPRA_LNC010057)". The record is from RNAcentral. Lineage: Eukaryota; Viridiplantae; Streptophyta; Magnoliopsida; Fabales; Fabaceae.